This 282-nucleotide ribosomal RNA is filed under the name uncultured bacterium. Its description in RNAcentral is "partial 16S ribosomal RNA". It matches the Rfam family "Bacterial small subunit ribosomal RNA", at positions 202 to 507 of the family's 1533-position model. The record is from RNAcentral.
AAAGAUUUUAUCGCCGAAGGAUGAGCCCGCGUAGGAUUAGCUUGUUGGUGGGUAAUGGCCCACCAAGGCGACGAUCCUUAGCUGGUCUGAGAGGAUGAUCAGCCACACUGGGACUGAGACACGGCCCAGACUCCUACGGGAGGCAGCAGUGGGAAUAUUGGACAAUGGCGAAAGCCUGAUCCAGCAAUGCCGCGUGAGUGAUGAAGGCCUUAGGGUUGUAAAGCUCUUUUACCCGGGAUGAUAAUGACAGUACCGGGAGAAUAAGCUCCGGCUAACUCCGUG